GAUCAUGGCUAAGGAUGAACGCUGGCGGCGUGCCUAAUACAUGCAAGUAGAACGCUGAAGGAAGGAGCUUGCUCUUUCCGGAUGAGUUGCGAACGGGUGAGUAACGCGUAGGUAACCUGCCUGGUAGCGGGGGGUAACUAUUGGAAACGAUAGCUAAUACCGCAUAACAGUAGAUGUUGCAUGACAUUUACUUGAAAGGUGCAAUUGCACCACUACCAGAUGGACCUGCGUUGUA
RNAcentral lists this ribosomal RNA (235 nucleotides) under uncultured bacterium. RNAcentral's name for it is "partial 16S ribosomal RNA". It matches the Rfam family "Bacterial small subunit ribosomal RNA", at positions 15 to 240 of the family's 1533-position model. The record is from RNAcentral.